This 155-nucleotide non-coding RNA is filed under the name Ancylostoma ceylanicum. The record is from Rfam by way of RNAcentral. Lineage: Eukaryota; Metazoa; Nematoda; Chromadorea; Rhabditida; Ancylostomatidae.
GUAACUUGUACGCGAGUCAAAGGGUGAAAAACCCCAUGGCGAAAUGAUAGUAAAGGUCGGUUAACCGGCUGACAUGGGAUCCGCUCUUCGGAGCGGCGCACCAUGGCCCUGUCUUGUCUGCUUGCAGAUGGGCAGCGGUAGAGCGCACACGUUGC